This 539-nucleotide ribosomal RNA is filed under the name Hyperolius ademetzi. RNAcentral describes it as "partial large subunit ribosomal RNA". It matches the Rfam family "Bacterial large subunit ribosomal RNA", at positions 1917 to 2620 of the family's 2925-position model. Lineage: Eukaryota; Metazoa; Chordata; Amphibia; Anura; Hyperoliidae. The record is from RNAcentral.
AUUUAAUUUAACGGCCGCGGUAUCUUAACCGUGCAAAGGUAGCAUAAUCAAUUGUCCCUUAAAUUAGGACUAGUAUGAAUGGCACCACGAGGGUUUAACUGUCUCCCUAUUUUUAUUAAUGAAAUUAAUCUUCCCGUGAAGAAACUGGAAUAUAAAUAUAAGACGAGAAGACCCCAUGGAGCUUUAAACUAAUUACCACUUAUUUAAUAAUAUAACUUACUACCCGAUAAGAAUGUUCUUUAAUAGUUUUUGGUUGGGGCGACCCUGGAGAAAAACAAAUCCUCCAGAUUGAAAGGAACAACAACCCUUAUGUAAGAACUACAGUUCAAACAAACAAAAUUUUGACAAAACUGACCCAAAUUUAUUGAUCAGUGAACCAAGUUACCCUGGGGAUAACAGCGCAAUCCAUUUCAAGAGCCCCUAUCGACAAAUGGGUUUACGACCUCGAUGUUGGAUCGGGAUAUCCUAGCAGCGCAGCUGUUGCUAAUGGUUCGUUUGUUCAACGAUUAAUAUCCCACGUGAUCUGAGUUCAGACCGGA